Molecule: ribosomal RNA, 279 nt
Filed under: uncultured bacterium
Lineage: Bacteria
Description: partial 16S ribosomal RNA
Rfam family: Bacterial small subunit ribosomal RNA
Source: RNAcentral
UGCCAGCAGCCGCGGUAAGACAGAGGUGGCAAGCGUUGUUCGGAAUUACUGGGCGUAAAGGGCGCGCAGGCGGUUCGUCAAGUCCCGUGUGAAAUCCCCCGGCUCAACUGGGGAACUGCGCGGGAAACUAGCGGGCUUGAGUUCGGGAGAGGAAAGCGGAAUUCCGGGUGUAGCGGUGAAAUGCGCAGAUAUCCGGAGGAACACCAGUGGCGAAGGCGGCUUUCUGGACCGACACUGACGCUGAGGCGCGAAAGCUAGGGGAGCGAACGGGAUUAGAUA